UAGGGAAUCUUCGGCAAUGGGGGGAACCCUGACCGAGCAACGCCGCGUGAGUGAAGAAGGUUUUCGGAUCGUAAAGCUCUGUUGUUAAGGAAGAACGCGUGUGAGAAUGGAAAGUUCAUGCUGUGACGGUACUUAACCAGAAAGGGACGGCUAACUACGUGCCAGCAGCCGCGGUAAUACGUAGGUCCCGAGCGCUGUCCGGAUUUAUUGGGCGUAAAGCGAGCGCAGGCGGUUAGAAAAGUCUGAAGUGAAAGGCAGUGGCUCAACCAUUGUAGGCUUUGGAAACUGUUUAACUUGCGUGCAGAAGGGGAGAUUGUAAUUCCACGUGUGGCGUUGAAAUGCGUAGAUAUAUGGAGUAACACCGGUGGCUAAAGCGGCUCUCUGGUCUGUAUCUAACGCUAAGGCUCGAAAGCGUGGGGAUCGAACAGG
Molecule: ribosomal RNA, 429 nt
Filed under: Verrucomicrobiota bacterium
Lineage: Bacteria; Pseudomonadati; Verrucomicrobiota
Description: Verrucomicrobia bacterium partial 16S ribosomal RNA
Rfam family: Bacterial small subunit ribosomal RNA
Source: RNAcentral